GCAUAUCAAUAAGCGGAGGAAAAGAAAAUAACCAUGAUUGCCCUAGUAACGGCGAGUGAAGAGGCAAAAGCUCAAGUUUGGAAGCUCAAUGGUUUAACCAUUGCGCAUUGUAAACUGAAAACAGGAUCAAUCAGGUACACCGGGUGAUAAGUUCCUUGGAAUAGGACAUCAUGGAGGGUGAGAAUCCCGUCUUUGACCCGAGUCUAGUAUCUUUUGUAUUGGCCUGUUCAAGAGUCAGGUUGUUUGGGAAUGCAGCCUAAAGCUGGAGGUAAAUCCCUCCUGAAGCUAAAUAAUGGCGAGAGACCGAUAGCGAACAAGUACCGUGAGGGAAAGAUGAAAAGAACUCUGAAGAGAGAGUUAAACAGUACGUGAAAUUGCUUAAAGGGAAGCAUAUAAAGCUAGGAUGCGAUUGUUUUCUUCAGGUUGAGCUUUGGCUUGACUGUUCAGAAGGAUAAUCCAAGACAACAAGAAUUGGAGGAGGAGAAUAAGCCAUUGGGGAAGGUAAUCCUUCGGGAUGUUUAUAGACCUGAUGGUUCGCGCUCUUCUUUCGAUUGAGGUACGCUUUUUUUAAAGGUUGUUGUCUGAAUGGCUUUAUAUGGCCCGUCUUGAAACACGGACCAAGGAGUCCACCUAAUGUGCGAGUAUUUGGGAGGUAAACCCAUAUGCGCAAUGAAAGUGAUUUUACCUAUGAGGGGGUCUCUCGGGGCCUCUGCAAUAGGAUCGGGCAGGGACGUUUUAUACUGAACUGACUCAGAUAAAGCACAUUGGAUGGGACCCGAAAGAUGGUGAACUAUGCUUGGAUAGGGUGAAGCCAAAGGAAACUUUGGUGGAGGCUCGUAGCGAUUCUGACGUGCAAAUCGAUCGUCGAAUCUGAGCAUAGGGGCGAAAGACUAAUCGAACCAUCUAGUAGCUGGUUCCUGCGA
This 923-nucleotide ribosomal RNA is filed under the name Syncephalastrum monosporum var. pluriproliferum. RNAcentral describes it as "LSU rRNA". It matches the Rfam family "Eukaryotic large subunit ribosomal RNA", at positions 38 to 963 of the family's 3401-position model. Lineage: Eukaryota; Fungi; Mucoromycota; Mucoromycetes; Mucorales; Syncephalastraceae. The record is from RNAcentral. RNAcentral also lists the same sequence under 1 other name.